AAUAUGAAACUGACUGAAUAGGUAGGGUAAUUUUUCAGUGACUGCACAUGGUCCUACAUAUUCAGUCAGUUUCAUAUU
Molecule: microRNA precursor, 78 nt
Organism: Cercocebus atys (sooty mangabey)
Lineage: Eukaryota; Metazoa; Chordata; Mammalia; Primates; Cercopithecidae
Source: Ensembl